UAUGAACGCUGGCGGCGUGCCUAAUACAUGCAAGUCGAGCGAACAGAUAAGGAGCUUGCUCCUUUGACGUUAGCGGCGGACGGGUGAGUUACACGUGGAUAACCUACCUAUAAGACUGGGAUAACUUCGGGAAACCGGAGCUAAUACCGGAUAACAUAUUGAACCGCAUGGUUCAAUAGUGAAAGGCGGCUUUGCUGUCACUUAUAGAUGGAUCCGCGCCGUAUUAGCUAGUUGGUAAGGUAACGGCUUACCAAGGCAACGAUACGUAGCCGACCUGAGAGGGUGAUCGGCCACACUGGAACUGAGACACGGUCCAGACUCCUACGGGAGGCAGCGGUAGGGAAUCUUCCGCAAUGGGCGAAAGCCUGACGGAGCAACGCCGCGUGAGUGAUGAAGGUCUUCGGAUCGUAAAACUCUGUUAUCAGGGAAGAACAAAUGUGUAAGUAACUGUGCACAUCUUGACGGUACCUGAUCAGAAAGCCACGGCUAACUACGUG
RNAcentral lists this ribosomal RNA (497 nucleotides) under uncultured bacterium. RNAcentral's name for it is "partial 16S ribosomal RNA". It matches the Rfam family "Bacterial small subunit ribosomal RNA", at positions 29 to 507 of the family's 1533-position model. The record is from RNAcentral.